RNAcentral lists this ribosomal RNA (253 nucleotides) under uncultured bacterium. Its description in RNAcentral is "partial 16S ribosomal RNA". It matches the Rfam family "Bacterial small subunit ribosomal RNA", at positions 524 to 776 of the family's 1533-position model. The record is from RNAcentral.
UACGUAGGGACCGAGCGUUGUCCGGAAUCAUUGGGCGUAAAGAGCGUGUAGGCGGCCUUUUAAGUCCUGCGUGAAAUCCUGCGGCUCAACCGCAGACGGUCGUGGGAAACUGGAAGGCUAGAGUGCGGGAGAGGAGAGUGGAAUUCCCGGUGUAGCGGUGAAAUGCGCAGAUAUCAGGAGGAACACCAAUGGCGAAGGCAGCUCGCUGGGACGUGACUGACGCUGAGACGCGAAAGCGUGGGGAGCAAACAGG